Molecule: ribosomal RNA, 253 nt
Filed under: uncultured bacterium
Lineage: Bacteria
Description: partial 16S ribosomal RNA
Rfam family: Bacterial small subunit ribosomal RNA
Source: RNAcentral
UACAGAGGUGGCAAGCGUUGUUCGGAAUUACUGGGCGUAAAGGGCGCGUAGGCGGUCUUGUCAGUCCCUUGUGAAAUCCCCCGGCUCAACUGGGGAACUGCAAGGGAAACAGCAGGGCUUGAGUUCGGGAGAGGGAAGCGGAAUUCCGGGUGUAGCGGUGAAAUGCGUAGAUAUCCGGAGGAACACCGGUGGCGAAGGCGGCUUCCUGGACCGGGAUUGACACUGAGGAGCGAAAGCUAGGGGAGCAAACGGG